GACGAACGCUGGCGGCGUGCUUAAUACAUGCAAGUCGAACGGAAAGGCCCUGCUUUUGCGGCGUGCUCGAUUGCCGAACGGGUGAGUAUCACGUGAGUAACCUGCCCUUGACUUUGUGAUAUCUUCACGAAACUCGGGCUCAUACCGGAUAUGAUCUCCUGCUCCAUGUUGGUGAUUGGUAAGUUUCGGCUGUUGGGUAUGGACUAGAGGGUUAUCCGCUUGUUGGUCUGGUAGUGGAUUUCCAAGGCUUUGACGGGUAGCCGGCCUGAGAGGCUGACCGGCCACAUUGGGACUGCGAUACGGAGCAGACUCGUACGGGAGGCAGCAGGGGGGAAUAUUGCACAGUGGGCGGGAGCGUGAUGCGGCAAUGUCGCGUGCGGGAUGAUGGCUUUCGGGGUGUAAACCGCUUUGGAAUGUGACGAAGAGUGAGUGACGGUAAUGGGUAAGGAAGCAACGGCUAACUACGUG
RNAcentral lists this ribosomal RNA (468 nucleotides) under uncultured bacterium. Its description in RNAcentral is "partial 16S ribosomal RNA". It matches the Rfam family "Bacterial small subunit ribosomal RNA", at positions 28 to 507 of the family's 1533-position model. The record is from RNAcentral.